GUCCAUGUAGCUCAGUUGGAUAGAGCAUCCGCCUUCUAAGCGGACGGUCGGGAGUUCGAGUCUCUCCAUGGACGCCA
RNAcentral lists this transfer RNA (77 nucleotides) under Erysipelotrichaceae bacterium. Its description in RNAcentral is "tRNA-Arg". It matches the Rfam family "tRNA". Rfam says of the family: Transfer RNA (tRNA) molecules are approximately 80 nucleotides in length. RNAcentral also lists the same sequence under 2 other names. The record is from RNAcentral. Lineage: Bacteria; Bacillati; Bacillota; Erysipelotrichia; Erysipelotrichales; Erysipelotrichaceae.